GGAAGGCAAUGGAAUGAACAGCCACUUUUUUUGGUGUAGCCGGACUGGCAGACCAGCGAUGUACUACCGUCUUAGGGAGGCGUCCUCAGUCCGGGGCUCCUGCGGCUCUUGCUGUCUCCCAGGCCCGCCGCACCAGUUGCUGCUGGUCACGAGGCUCCGAGCUAGACUGCAUGACGUCGGCACCAACUGCGGUCUCCUUAGGAUCCGGCACCCCGCCCAGGUAGAGGUUCAGUGGAAGCGAGAGCUGGG
Non-coding RNA from Dermacentor andersoni, 249 nucleotides. The record is from RefSeq and is a predicted model, not a curated record. Lineage: Eukaryota; Metazoa; Arthropoda; Arachnida; Ixodida; Ixodidae.